GCAUCGAUGGUUAAGUGGUAAAUGCUUGCCUGCCACGCGGGCGGCCCGGGAUCGAUUCGAGGCCGAUGCA
RNAcentral lists this transfer RNA (70 nucleotides) under Cordylochernes scorpioides. RNAcentral's name for it is "tRNA-Gly". Lineage: Eukaryota; Metazoa; Arthropoda; Arachnida; Pseudoscorpiones; Chernetidae. The record is from RNAcentral.